This 305-nucleotide ribosomal RNA is filed under the name uncultured bacterium. RNAcentral describes it as "bacterial SSU rRNA". It matches the Rfam family "Bacterial small subunit ribosomal RNA", at positions 337 to 634 of the family's 1533-position model. The record is from RNAcentral.
CCCUACGGGGGGCAGCAGUAGGGAAUCUUCCACAAUGGGCGAAAGCCUGAUGGAGCAACGCCGCGUGGGUGAAGAAGGUCUUCGGAUCGUAAAACCCUGUUGUUAGAGAAGAAAGUGCGUGAGAGUAACUGUUCACGUUUCGACGGUAUCUAACCAGAAAGCCACGGCUAACUACGUGCCAGCAGCCGCGGUAAUACGUAGGUGGCAAGCGUUAUCCGGAUUUAUUGGGCGUAAAGGGAACGCAGGCGGUCUUUUAAGUCUGAUGGGAAAGCCUUCGGCUUAACCGGCGUAGUGCAUUGGAAACU